GAUGAAGAACGUAGUGAAAUGCGAUAAGUAGUGUGAAUUGCAGAAUUCAGUGAAUCAUCGAAUCUUUGAACGCACAUUGCGCCCUCUGGUAUUCCGGGGGGCAUGCCUGUUCGAGCGUCAUUAUAACCACUCAAGCUCUCGCUUGGUAUUGGAGUUCGCGAUCUCGCGGCUCCUAAAAUCAGUGGCGGUGCCUGUCGGCUCUACGCGUAGUAAUACUCCUCGCGAUUGAGUCCGGUAGGUUUACUUGCCAGCAACCCCCAAUUUUUACAGGUUGACCUCGGAUCAGGUAGGGAUACCCGCUGAACUUAAGCAUAUCAAUAAGCGGAGGA
This 329-nucleotide unclassified non-coding RNA is filed under the name soil metagenome. RNAcentral's name for it is "partial contains 5.8S ribosomal RNA, internal transcribed spacer 2, and large subunit ribosomal RNA". The stretch from base 1 to 120 matches the Rfam family "5.8S ribosomal RNA", at positions 35 to 154 of the family's 154-position model. The record is from RNAcentral.